UUCGCCUCCAGAUUAUCUUUUUAUAGUACUGAACCUAACUUUUUAGUAAUUUUAAAGGUAAAUUGAUUGUUUUGUAUAUAAGCCAUUUCAAAGUUCAUUUGGCAACGAAAGCCUGUUAUUUACUCGAAGGUAUUUUGUUGGGUCCUUUUUUUUUUGGGUUUUUCGAAAUAUUUUAUUUCUACACGAUUUUCCUCACAUGAAUAGUUAGUGGGACCCACAUCCUUGAUUUUGGGAGAGACCCAUGUGAUGUGGAAGUAUCAUAUUUCCACGUGGAAACAUUAGUUCCCUUUUUUUUUGGUAUGUGGAACUAGUGUUGCUUUAGGUUUUAAAAGAUUCAUAAGAGUAGUAGGAUUCUAUUUCAAAUAUGCUAG
Molecule: long non-coding RNA, 371 nt
Filed under: Panax ginseng (ginseng)
Lineage: Eukaryota; Viridiplantae; Streptophyta; Magnoliopsida; Apiales; Araliaceae
Description: long non-coding RNA (PGIN_LNC002527)
Source: RNAcentral